RNAcentral lists this long non-coding RNA (627 nucleotides) under Cervus hanglu yarkandensis (Yarkand deer). Its description in RNAcentral is "lncRNA (ENSCHYG00000011447.1)". The record is from RNAcentral. Lineage: Eukaryota; Metazoa; Chordata; Mammalia; Artiodactyla; Cervidae.
GGCUUUCAGAGAAGACUUUUCGGCUGCUCUUCCUGGAAGACCCCACCCUGAUCAAUGAGGCUGCUGUCCCUCUGGAUGCUGCACAGACCCGCCCUUCUCAGCUCAACAGCGGGUUUGGCAGAGAAAGGACAUUUCCUUGGAAGAACAGAAGACCAUGCCCUGCAUGUGCUUCCAGGCAUGUGGGAUCAUAACUCUCCUACCAGGGAUCAAACCUGCACCCCUGAAUUGGAAGGUGAAGUCUUAACCACUGAACAGCCAGGGAAGUCCGUCUCUCCGUUUUUUGGAGUCCAGCGGCCUUGCACGGCAACCUGAGCAGACAGGAGUGUCAGGACCAUGUGGGAAGAGAGGCCACAUGCAGGGGGGCUGAGGUGCCCCAGCACAGGCCUGAGAUGGAAGCCUCAUGGAUAUUUCAGCCCAGCUGAGCUCCCAGCUGGAAAUCACCACGCUGAUGCCACAGGAAGGAGGGGAUACACCCAACUGACCUACAGACCGUUAGAACUCAUAAAUCAGUUAUUUCAAGCCACUGAGCUAUGGGGUGGUUUGUCACAUUGCAGCGAUAACCGAAACAGGUGGCCUUGUGGAUGCUCCAGGCCAGGAGCUGUUGACCACCGUGCUUUCUACUACUGA